Molecule: ribosomal RNA, 335 nt
Filed under: uncultured bacterium
Lineage: Bacteria
Description: bacterial SSU rRNA
Rfam family: Bacterial small subunit ribosomal RNA
Source: RNAcentral
AAUCAACGCUGGCGGCGUGCCUCAGACAUGCAAGUCGAACGAUUAAAGCUCUCUUCGGAGAGUGCAUAGAGUGGCGCACGGGUGAGUAACACGUAAGUAAUCUACCUUCGAGUGGGGAUAACAGUCGGAAACGACUGCUAAUACCGCAUAAUGCAGCGGCAUCGCAAGAUGACAGUUGUUAAAGGAGCAAUUCGCUUGAAGAGGAGCUGCGGCAGAUUAGCUUGUUGGUAAGGUAACGGCUUACCAAGGCUACGAUCUGUAACCGGUCUAAGAGGACGGUCGGUCACACUGACACUGAAUAACGGGUCAGACUCCUACGGGAGGCAGCAGUCGGG